UGGGUGGCGCAGCUAACGCAUUAAGUUAUCCGCCUGGGGAGUACGGCCGCAAGGUUAAAACUCAAAGGAAUUGACGGGGGCCUGCACAAGCGUGGAGCAUGUGGUUUAAUUCGAAGCAACGCGCAGAACCUUACCAGCGUUUGACAUGGUAGGACGACUUCCAGAGAUGGAUUUCUUCCCUUCGGGGACCUACACACAGGUGCUGCAUGGCUGUCGUCAGCUCGUGUCGUGAGAUGUUGGGUUAAGUCCCGCAACGAGCGCAACCCUCGACUUUAGUUACCAUCAUUAAGUUGGGUACUUUAAAGUAACCGCCGGUGAUAAGCCGGAGGAAGGUGGGGAUGACGUCAAGUCCUCAUGGCCCUUACGCGCUGGGCUACACACGUGCUACAAUGGCAAGUACAGUGGGCAGCAAUCCCGCGAGGGUGAGCUAAUCUCCAAAACUUGUCUCAGUUCGGAUUGUUCUCUGCAACUCGAGAGCAUGAAGGCGGAAUCGCUAGUA
RNAcentral lists this ribosomal RNA (499 nucleotides) under Sphingomonas sp. Its description in RNAcentral is "bacterial SSU rRNA". It matches the Rfam family "Bacterial small subunit ribosomal RNA", at positions 840 to 1340 of the family's 1533-position model. Lineage: Bacteria; Pseudomonadati; Pseudomonadota; Alphaproteobacteria; Sphingomonadales; Sphingomonadaceae. The record is from RNAcentral.